RNAcentral lists this ribosomal RNA (482 nucleotides) under uncultured bacterium. Its description in RNAcentral is "bacterial SSU rRNA". It matches the Rfam family "Bacterial small subunit ribosomal RNA", at positions 48 to 524 of the family's 1533-position model. The record is from RNAcentral.
CUUACCAUGCAAGUCGAGCGGUAACAGGAGAAGCUUGCUUCUCGCUGACGAGCGGCGGACGGGUGAGUAAUACUUAGGAAUCUACCUAGUAGUGGGGGAUAGCUCGGGGAAACUCGAAUUAAUACCGCAUACGACCUACGGGAGAAAGGGGGCAACUUGUUGCUCUCGCUAUUAGAUGAGCCUAAGUCGGAUUAGCUAGAUGGUGGGGUAAAGGCCUACCAUGGCGACGAUCUGUAGCUGGUCUGAGAGGAUGAUCAGCCACACCGGGACUGAGACACGGCCCGGACUCCUACGGGAGGCAGCAGUGGGGAAUAUUGGACAAUGGGGGCAACCCUGAUCCAGCCAUGCCGCGUGUGUGAAGAAGGCCUUUUGGUUGUAAAGCACUUUAAGCAGUGAAGAAGACUCCAUGGUUAAUACCCAUGGACGAUGACAUUAGCUGCAGAAUAAGCACCGGCUAACUCUGUGCCAGCAGCCGCGGUAAU